This 494-nucleotide ribosomal RNA is filed under the name uncultured bacterium. RNAcentral describes it as "partial 16S ribosomal RNA". It matches the Rfam family "Bacterial small subunit ribosomal RNA", at positions 28 to 507 of the family's 1533-position model. The record is from RNAcentral.
GACGAACGCUGGCGGCGUGCUUAACACAUGCAAGUCGAACGGAAAGGCCUGCUUUCCCUUGUGGAUUGCGGGUACUCGAGUGGCGAACGGGUGAGUAACACGUGAGUGAUCUGCCCCCAACUUGGGUAUAAGCCUGGGAAACUGGGUCUAAUUCCCGAUAGGACUGCAGGGUGGUGCCUGUGGUGGAAAACGAUUUUCUAGUGGUUGGGGAUGAGCUCGCGGCCUAUCAGCUUGUUGGUGGGGUAAUGGCCUACCAAGGCGGCGACGGGUAGCCGGCCUGGGAGGGUGGACGGCCACAUUGGGACUGAGAUACGGCCCAGACUCCUACGGGAGGCAGCAGUGGGGAAUAUUGCACAAUGGGCGGAAGCCUGAUGCAGCGACGCCGCGUGGGGGAUGACGGCCUUCGGGUUGUAAACUCCUCUCGACCGCGAGGAAGCCACCUGGUUGGAAGGGUGGUGACGGUAGUGGUAGAAGAAGCACCGGCUAACUACGUG